This 896-nucleotide long non-coding RNA is filed under the name Nicotiana benthamiana. Its description in RNAcentral is "long non-coding RNA (NBEN_LNC027039)". Lineage: Eukaryota; Viridiplantae; Streptophyta; Magnoliopsida; Solanales; Solanaceae. The record is from RNAcentral.
AAAAUUUUUGGGACUCUUUCUUGACAUGAUAAAAACAUACAGACACUCACCUCUCUGAUGGAGAAGAAAACUAAAAAGCAUGAAAAGGAGGAAUAAACCCAAGACUUCCCCAAAGAAAGAACCUACGCUUAUGUCGUCUUCAACCUUCAGCCAUGACCUCUUCAUCUUCCUCUAUUAGUACAAAUACGCAAACACGCAGAUAGAAGGGAGAAACGGUGGAGAAAACAGAGGAGACGAUUUAUUGGAUUCUCCCUUCUCCUCUCAAAAGGGAGUAGAUAGGUAGCUAAAACACAAGAACCCAACAUGUAAGAUCCUAGAACUCAUUUUUCUCCAUUGUUUUCCUCUAUUUCUGCCAUGAAAACUUCCAUUAAACCACCAAAAAUCAGCUGUAACUGCUGCAAAUAGCGCAACAACAAUGACUACGAUAAACCUGCAACUUUCAGCCAUUAACGCCCACCCGAAACAGCGCCCGAAACUCCUCGGAACAGCAGUUUUGAAACAUUUCGAAGUCACUGCGUUUCAGCUCUAAAGACAAUGUCUAGCUCGUUUCUUCUCCGUUGGUUUUUCGACGAUUUCGGGGCUGUCGAAGAGGUGGUUCUCGAUCCUUGUUGAAGCGAGUCGAGGUCGACCUUUGAAGUCCCCGUUUUUGGUCUUGUUCGUGUUUUCACUUGAAAGCUUUAGUCGCAACUAUGUAAUCAAUUGGUUUCUUAAUGAAAAGGGAAAGCUUGCGCAUCAAAAGGUUCAUCCUCUCCUCUUAAAUUUAUUUUUUUCAUGAGUAGGUUAAUAUAAUGCAUUCGAUAAAUUUCAUAAAUUGUUUAGUUGCUCUAUUUCGAAAUCCUUGAGUUACUAUCUCUUGCUUCGAAUGGUGGAAUAUUUUUAUGUUCCAUUAAUUUGCU